UAAGGUGUUUCUGUGUUGGAAUGUGUUUCUCUCCGCCGCUACUUUCUUCUUUUUAACCUUUUUGGUGAUCGAUCCUUGGUGGUGCGAGACUGGUGACCUGCUAAAUCCACUACAUCGCCUGGGGGAGUGGUUGUGGUGGUGGUGGUGAUGGUGUGGCUGAGCUAGAUGGCUACUACGAGAAUGACAUCCUGUUCAUGAUGUUCAGGUAUCAAGCACUACUGUCAUCGUUUCCUGUGUUUGUAUGCAAGGACAAAGCGUCACUAAUGAUCUCCUUGCUAAGCUGCUUUGUCUUGGAGGAAUGGAAGGGAAGG
Molecule: long non-coding RNA, 311 nt
Filed under: Portunus trituberculatus (swimming crab)
Lineage: Eukaryota; Metazoa; Arthropoda; Malacostraca; Decapoda; Portunidae
Description: uncharacterized LOC123509537, transcript variant X1
Source: RNAcentral